AAGACUCCAUAGCAGAUGCGCCUCUUCUUUCACUGAAAACAAGAACUUUGCACUGAAUAUUGUGCAAUAUUUGAGCUCUUUGUCACACACAGAUGAAGGCUGGUGCUCUGCCAGUGUUCACGCAGUGUGUAUGAGCGACACGGCCGCACAUCGCGACGAUAAUCCGGCUGAACGUCCGGACUCAGUGCCGCUGGACUGCUGCGGAGGACUCAACAACGUGGAUUAUUCCAAGAUGGACUUGACGCUGAUGGAAGAAAUCCUGAAACACAUCAACUUCCGUGACUCCAGCUUUCAUAUCGCUGUGAUCGCCAUCAUUUUCAACCCGUUGUUCUGGAACGUGGUGGCGAGAUGGGAGCAUCGUACACGGAGACUCUCCAGGCUCUUCGGCAGCCCCUCCCUGGCGUGUUACGGCCUCGGCUUCGCCAUAAUUCUGCUCAACGUGUACCGCAGUCACAGUAUGACGGUGGCGAUGAAGGUCCAGGCCAGGUGGGAGGUGAUGGACAGGACGGAUGUCUUCUACGCGGGUGCAGCCCUCAUGGUGCUGGGCACUGUGCUGGUGGUGGGCAGCUUCCUGGCUCUGGGAUUCACCGGAACCUUCCUGGGUGAUUACUUUGGCAUCCUGAUGGAUGAGAAGGUGACUGGCUUUCCCUUCAACAUCAUAGAGAACCCCAUGUACUGGGGCAGCACAGCCAACUACCUCGGCCUGGCACUCAUUGGUGCCAGUCCCGUUGGUCUCGUCCUGACUGCUACAGUCGCUGUGGUCUAUAAGGUGGCGAUAAGGAUUGAAGGGUAGGUCUUUCUUUGUCUCAGGUUCACGUUUGUCAAUGAACUGUAUUUGGUUACUCACAGGUGGGAGGGCACUAAGUCUGUAAAUGAUAUGUUUUGUAACCUUAUGUAUCUUAACAUGCAUCCUCCUCCUCGCUCAUCCAAGGCCAUUACGAGUUUAGCCACAGACCCAUAACAGUUAUGAGUGGCCUACUUCUCGAUAUCUGUCCACACACACACACACACACACACACACACACGCAGAAAACACAAACAACCACGAACACACAGACAAGCCAGUCAAAGAUUUGGCAGAGCUCGGCAUGAAAACAGCUGCUAUGUGCACUUACUCAUUCUGUGUGUGUGUUUGGGUGUGUGUGUGUGUGUGUGUGUGUGUGUGUGUGUGUGUGUGUGUGUGUGUGUGUGUGUGUGUGUGUGUGCACUUACAGUAGCUGACUGACUGACUUCAUCACACACAUAAAGACCUUUCAGAAUGGCCUCACAACAGGUUGUUAAAUAAAAAGUCAUGUUGGCCUCGGCAGUGUCAGAAACAUGCACUUUUGAAAAUGUCCCGCAUUAACACACGCUGUGAAUUAGAGCACAGGGGAACAUGUCCAAUCCACAGAUGUGUCAUCCAGACCAAAGCUGUGAGUUGGAAGGUAAAGCAGGUGUGAAAAGAUUCAUAUGCUAUAUUUAUCCUCCGCCUCGGGACAGAUUCUGAAUGAUCUCAUCUCGCUCCACUGGACAGCAUGUUGCCUCACAGCGACUGCAGGGGAUGGAAGCUGCACUGUCAUAAUACAGGAAAGUGAAAGGAAACAGAUGAAACCAUUCACCGAACAGAUCUAUAAGGAGAGGAGUCAUCGGCGUAAGCUUGAAUAAUCGCCUCCCGCCCCGAGCUUCCUGCUGCGGUUCAGGAGUCGCGUCCCGUCACCAGGACGUUCAGACUGAAGAACAGAUUCACCAACAGUGUUUAUCAUCAAUCUGCCUCCGGCGUGGAUCCAAAGACUACGUUCACACCUGUGUUGUAAUCUCUUAAUCAAUGUGGACUGAAUGUCAUUUUGGACCACAUGCUGUUAAAGUAGAUAUGUGAUAUUCUGAGAAACAUUCUUAUUAUUAGAUUGAUACCACUAGUAGUUUUAAUCUUCUCAAGUAAAAGGCCUUUGACCCCUCAGAGCCACCGUACAUGCAAACGUUAUCAUCCAAUAAGCCAUCACGUCGUCCCCCAGCACUAAGUACUUUCUGAAAACCAAGUAAAGAAUAAAGGGAAGAAUUUAAAGAUUGUUUCAGCUGAUUGCAGAACAGCUUGACAUCGGGGACGGUGGACACGUACGAAAGAUUAGACGCGAGUGAUUGUGCUGUAGACAGCUAAUCCAUAACUUCCUGUUAAUUCCAUUCAUGCAUUCGUCCCGUUUGACACUUUUAAAUGUCUCGUAUCACAGAUUUUCACAACGAAUUGAUUAACCACAUCAGAUUUUUACAGAAACAUACAAAGAAUAUAGACUUGGUGUGCAGAGGCCUUGAACAGAGAAAAAGUUAUUUCCCAAGAUGUCUAAUUAUUCCUUUAAAGCUGCACUAGGUUACUGUGCAGUAAACACGCACACACACACACACACACACACACACACCACCAACAGCCUAAAUCAUGAAGACGAUAUGCAACAAACAUCAGGAACUUGUCCUCCACCUUCACCGUGGUGCUAAACACAAAGCUUACUUUUUACAUUAAUGUCACGUAUUGUUACCAGACAACAUGCAAAAUAGCUGCACCUGCACCUGCACCUGUAUCUGCACCUGCACCUGUAUCUGUAUCUGCACCUGCACCUGCACCUGUAUCUGUAUCUGCACCUGUAUCUGCACCUGUAUCUGUAUCUGCACCUGCACCUGCACCUGUAUCUGUAUCUGCACCUGUAUCUGCACCUGUAUCUGUAUCUGCACCUGCACCUGUCAGGCCUCAAAUGAAUGAAGUCAUAAUUGAUGUUAAACAUUACACCUGCGUUAUACUGUGAAGAAGUCCCAUUAUAUAUAUAUAUAUAUAUAUAUAUAUAUAUAUAUAUAUAUAUAUAUAUAUAUAGUCAAUGUUUCAUACCGUUUUUAAUGUGAAUAAAGAACCUUUUCAAUGCCAGAGGAGCCAGAGCAUUAAUAUCUUUAUACUGUUCCUAUGCAAACCAUUCCAAACUGUACGAUGCUCACUGCCUGAUGUUCAUGAAGUAUUUGUUUUGAAAUAAAGAGUGGACCUGUGCUUCUC
This is an RNA transcript of Cottoperca gobio, 3010 nucleotides long. It is a transcript of the gene named phosphatidylethanolamine N-methyltransferase, with no coding region annotated. Lineage: Eukaryota; Metazoa; Chordata; Actinopteri; Perciformes; Bovichtidae. The transcript has 7 exons. The record is from RefSeq and is a predicted model, not a curated record.